RNAcentral lists this long non-coding RNA (316 nucleotides) under Elaeis guineensis (African oil palm). RNAcentral describes it as "long non-coding RNA (EGUI_LNC002503)". Lineage: Eukaryota; Viridiplantae; Streptophyta; Magnoliopsida; Arecales; Arecaceae. The record is from RNAcentral.
ACCCAUGUCUUUCCACUAUAGUCACCAGUAAGGUAAGAAAAUAUCUAUUUCCACAAGGUUUGAUAGGCCCAUAAACAUCUGAAUGUAUCAAUUCAAGGCAUUUUGUUGCUCUUUUUGAUCUUCUUCCUUUGAAAGUCUUCCUUUGCUGCUUUUUCAUAAUACAAACUUUAUGCAACGUGCUUGGCUAAUCCAUCUUUGGGAAGCUAGUCACCAUAUUCUCCAAAAGCUUCAAUUUUUUAAGAUUCAAAUACCCAAAUCGAAAAUGCCAAAGAGUUCACUCAUCUCGAAUAAUAGUUGUUGCUGUUGAAAUCGGUGA